GUGAGGAAUUUUGCGCAAUAGGGGAAACCCUGACGCAGCAACGCCGCGUGAGUGAAGAAGGCCCUCGGGUCGUAAAGCUCUGUCAAGUGGGAAAAAAGCUUUCUGGUGAAUAGCCAGGAAGACUGAUGGUACCAUUGAAGGAAGCACCGGCUAACUCCGUGCCAGCAGCCGCGGUAAUACGGAGGGUGCAAGCGUUGUUCGGAAUUACUGGGCGUAAAGGGCGUGUAGGCGGUGUGGUAAGUCAGAUGUGAAAGCCCUGGGCUUAACCCAGGAAGUGCAUUUGAAACUGCCAUGCUUGAGUAUGGGAGAGGAGAGUGGAAUUCCCAGUGUAGAGGUGAAAUUCGUAGAUAUUGGGAGGAACACCCGUGGCGAAGGCGACUCUCUGGACCAAUACUGACGCUGAGGCGCGAAAGCGUGGGGAGCAAACAGGAUUAGAUACCCCGGUAGUCC
This 450-nucleotide ribosomal RNA is filed under the name uncultured bacterium. RNAcentral describes it as "bacterial SSU rRNA". It matches the Rfam family "Bacterial small subunit ribosomal RNA", at positions 354 to 796 of the family's 1533-position model. The record is from RNAcentral.